Molecule: ribosomal RNA, 465 nt
Filed under: uncultured bacterium
Lineage: Bacteria
Description: bacterial SSU rRNA
Rfam family: Bacterial small subunit ribosomal RNA
Source: RNAcentral
AGUACAGACGUAGUUUGAUCCUGGCUCAGGACAACGCUGGCGGUGUGCUUCACACAUGCAAGUCGAACGAGGUAGCAAUACCUAGUGGCGGACGGGUGAGUAACGCGUGGGAAUCUGCCUUUAGAUGGGGGAUAACGGGUCGAAAGACUCGCUAAUACCGCAUAUGACGAAAGUUGAAAGGAGCAAUCCGUCUAAAGAUGAGCCCGCGUCCGAUUAGCUAGUUGGUAGAGUAAAAGCCUACCAAGGCGACGAUCGGUAGCUGGUCUGAGAGGAUGAUCAGCCACAAUGGGACUGAGACACGGCCCAUACUCCUACGGGAGGCAGCAGUGGGGAAUUUUACGCAAUGGGCGAAAGCCUGACGUAGCGACACCGCGUGAGCGAAGAAGCCCCUUGGGGUGUAAAGCUCUGUCAGCUGGAACGAAAAAAAUGACGGUACCAGCAGAGGAAGCAUCGGCUAACUACGUG